This 361-nucleotide long non-coding RNA is filed under the name Ictidomys tridecemlineatus (thirteen-lined ground squirrel). Its description in RNAcentral is "lncRNA (ENSSTOG00000031502.1)". The record is from RNAcentral. Lineage: Eukaryota; Metazoa; Chordata; Mammalia; Rodentia; Sciuridae.
CCCGGCCAUCCCCACUUCCAGGCUGGACUCCUCAGAGACACUCUCUGAAGUGGAUUCUAAGUUCCGAGUCUGCCGAGCCUGGGCAGUACUACACCGCGCGGUACAAGUGCAGCCUGGCGCACUGGUUCCACACCCGGCUCCUCGCCAGCAAGCCCAUUCCCAGGAUACUACUUUCUACAGUCAUACAACACUAAUAUUACAAAGCUUACAACUAAUGAAGAGAAACAGGCAGAAACAUAAGAAGAAAAAUAAUUGGGAUCACAUAUAGGGUUGUCAUUAAUGUUGGUUGGAUUCUGGGGAACUGCAUGAUUUCACUUGGCUUUCUUCUGUGAGUAUUAUCUACUUUUAUUUCAUUUGGAAU